RNAcentral lists this long non-coding RNA (743 nucleotides) under Parus major (Great Tit). Its description in RNAcentral is "lncRNA (ENSPMJG00000011454.1)". The record is from RNAcentral. Lineage: Eukaryota; Metazoa; Chordata; Aves; Passeriformes; Paridae.
CCCGGGCGGUGGUGCUGGCCCUGCCCUUGGAGGACUCCAGGGGUCGCGGCCCUGACCCGCCUGCUCCGCCUUGCGGAGGAGUAGGGCAGCGGUGGCGGGGAGGCUCCUGAGUGAGAGGGCUAGGAUGUGUUCAUGUGAGGGUCCGAAGGUUAAAGUAAUAUAAAAAAUAAGGGUUCUGCACCCCUGGGAUGGAAUCAGAGGCGAGGACCUUGGGAAGCUGAGGAAGAGGAGGCAGCAGGAGGUGUGGGAAGCAGAGGGCCCACAGCUGUCCUGUCUGGAGGGCCAGGCAGGAGGGAAGGGACCCUGGGGAAGGAUCAGUCCCAAAAAUGGGUUAGAACACUAAAUUAUCCUCAGAAUAAAGAAGAAAGGGCAAGUCGAGGUCAGGUUGUGAAUGAAUCAUUCAGAGCUAACAGUUGAUGAGGUAAAAUGAUACAGCAACUUCUCAACUUGGUGAGAUCAAUUUUUUGAAACUCCAUUGGCAUUAGAAGGACAAAUGUAUGUCCUCGGGUGUGGGCUGCAGGGAUGUAAUCUGUCUUUUCAAUGCACUUGAUGAUGAAUACAAGCUUUUUUCUGGUUUUCUGCUAACAACUAUUACUUGACUUUUCAAAUUUACCUCAAGACUUUCUUCAAUUAUGUGUUUUGAUGUUACACAUUAGAGUUUCUAAAGAAGCAGUAGAGAUGUUUUGCCUCUCAGCUAUUUGUGCUGCAGAAGGGCAAUUAAACUGGGAAUACUUAUGGUGAAG